RNAcentral lists this ribosomal RNA (253 nucleotides) under uncultured bacterium. Its description in RNAcentral is "partial 16S ribosomal RNA". It matches the Rfam family "Bacterial small subunit ribosomal RNA", at positions 524 to 776 of the family's 1533-position model. The record is from RNAcentral.
UACGUAGGUGGCAAGCGUUGUCCGGAUUUAUUGGGUUUAAAGGGUGCGUAGGCGGUCUUUUAAGUCAGUGGUGAAAUACUUCAGCUCAACUGGAGAGGUGCCAUUGAUACUGGGAGACUUGAGUACUGAUGAGGUAGGCGGAAUGGACGGUGUAGCGGUGAAAUGCUUAGAUAUCGUCCAGAACACCGAUAGCGAAGGCAGCUUACUAAGGAGUAACUGACGCUGAGGCACGAAAGCGUGGGGAGCGAACAGG